UACGGAGGGUGCGAGCGUUGUCCGGAAUCAUUGGGCGUAAAGAGCGUGUAGGCGGCCCGGUAAGUCCGCUGUGAAAGUCCAGGGCUCAACCCUGGGAUGCCGGUGGAUACUGUCGGGCUCGAGUCCGGAAGAGGAGUGUGGAAUUCCUGGUGUAGCGGUGAAAUGCGCAGAUAUCAGGAGGAACACCAAUAGCGAAGGCAGCUCGCUGGGACGUUACUGACACUGAGGCGCGAAAGCUAGGGGAGCAAACAGG
This 253-nucleotide ribosomal RNA is filed under the name uncultured bacterium. RNAcentral describes it as "partial 16S ribosomal RNA". It matches the Rfam family "Bacterial small subunit ribosomal RNA", at positions 524 to 776 of the family's 1533-position model. The record is from RNAcentral.